Molecule: long non-coding RNA, 1666 nt
Organism: Phasianus colchicus (ring-necked pheasant)
Lineage: Eukaryota; Metazoa; Chordata; Aves; Galliformes; Phasianidae
Source: Ensembl
UGCCUCUUUGGGGCAAUUUCAGGACAUUUUGGGUCAGUUUGGGUCAGUUUAGGGCCACUUUGGGGCCAUUUCAGGGCAUUUUGGGUCAGUUUAGGGCCACUUUGGGGCCAUUUCAGGGCAUUUUGGGUCAGUUUAGGGCCACUUUGGUGCCAUUUCAGGGCAUUUUGGGGCAUUUUAGGGCCAUUUUGGGGCAAUUUUAGGGCCAUUUCAGGGCAUUUUGAGUCGGUUUGGGUCAGUUUAGUGCCACUUUGGGGCCAUUUCAGGGCAUUUUGGGUCAUUUGGGGGCAGUUCAGGGCCACUUUGGGGUCAUUUCAGGGCAUUUGGGGGCAGUUCAGGGCCACUUUGGGGUCAUUUCAGGGCAUUUGGGGUCAGUUUGGGGCCAUUUCAGGGCAUUUUGGGGUUCCCCCCGGGGUCCCUCCUCACCUCGUCCCAGCGGAUGAAUUUGCUGCCCUGCACCAACAUGGCGGGGACCCGCGGCGGCUCCAACGGGAGCGGAACCGGGACCGGGCGCGGCGCCGCCAUGAUUGCACCGGGGCGGGCCGGGGCGGGGGGGCGGGGCUACAGAGGAGAGCCGCGAGGCGAUUGGUGGAACCGUGGGAAAGGGGGAGGGGCCGGCGGAGAGAAGCGCGCGCCGAUUGGUGGAAAGGCGGAAAGGGGCGGGGAUGAGAGCGGCGCGCAUGCGCGGACGUGCAUAGAGGGCUGAGUGGGCGUGGCCUGGUGCGGAAAUGGGCGUGUCCAAAGUGAAUGGCGGUAUGAAGGGAGGGGGCGGGGUCUCGUUUUGUAAAAGGGCGUGGCCUCGUGGAAAGGGGGCGUGGCCUCGAGGUAUCCGGAAAUGGGUGUGGUCCCAAAGAUUUGAAUGGAGGGAUUUGAAUGGAGGGAGUCGGGGGUGAAUGGGCGCUGUCUUAUGGAAGGAACCGUGGUCUGAGCCACGUGCGGCCGUUAUAAACCGAGAGUGGUCCCAGCUCGCUGCAUCGCCGCUUUAAGUGAGCGAGGUCUCCUCCGAAGGGGCGUGGUCUCAAGGAGGGCGGCGUGGUUUCAUUGGGGUCGAAAGUCCAAUAGGUGGGUCCCACCCAACUCAUCGCCCCUUUAAAAAGACGCGGUCUAACAGCUGUCCCGAAGGUCUCAAACGAAAGGGUGGACCCCACCACGCCCAUCGCCGCUUUAAGGAGGCGUGUUUUAACUGCAGAGGGCGUGGCCUCACGUAAACUGGGCGUGGCCACACAGAAUGAGCUUUUUCUCAGCUCGGCGUUGCCGCUUUAAAGCCUCUCGGAUGGUCCCACAACCUGCAUCGCCGCUUUAAGGGGGCGUGGUCUCACCGGGUGGAGGCGUGGCUCCGUGCUGGCAGUUUCAGCUCUUUACCUCCGCAUCGCCGCUUUAAGAGAGCAUCGGCCCCAUCAAUCACAUCGCCGCUUUAACCGAGCGAGGCACGCCGCCUUUUCUCCACACAAAGCCGUUUCCGUUUCCGGAAGGGCGGCUUCCGGUUCCGGUCCGGCAGGGCAGGGCAUGGCGGCGCCGUGCGGCCACCCGGGCCCUCCAGCGCCGCCGCCUCCCCCCGCCGGGCCGGGGCCGAGCUCAGCGCCGGGACCGCGGGUUUGCUUCGCAACGGGACCGGAGGGAGCGGACGGAGCGGCGGUCGGGGCGGAAGAGGCGGCGGGAGCGCGGAGAG